CCUACGGGAGGCAGCAGUAAGGAAUAUUGGUCAAUGGAGGCAACUCUGAACCAGCCAUGCCGCGUGCAGGAAGACGGCCCUAUGGGUUGUAAACUGCUUUUUGAACUAGAGAAAACCUUGGUACGUGUACCGAGUUGAUAGUAUAGUUAGAAUAAGCAUCGGCUAACUUCGUGCCAGCAGCCGCGGUAAGACGAAGGAUGCAAGCGUUAUCCGGAUUCAUUGGGUUUAAAGGGUGCGUAGGCGGACUGAUAAGUCAGUGGUGAAAUCUCUCAGCUUAACUGAGAAACUGCCAUUGAUACUGUUAGUCUAGAGUACAGAUGAUGUGGGCGGAAUAUGACAUGUAGUGGUGAAAUACUUAGAUAUGUCAUAGAACACCGAUUGCGAAGGCAGCUCACAAAACUGUAACUGACGCUGAGGCACGAAAGUGCGGGGAUCAAACAGGAUUAGAUACCCUGGUAGUCCGCACCGUAAACCGAUGAUUACUCGUUGUUGGCGAUNUNANANCNGCGACGAGACGA
This 518-nucleotide ribosomal RNA is filed under the name uncultured bacterium. RNAcentral describes it as "bacterial SSU rRNA". It matches the Rfam family "Bacterial small subunit ribosomal RNA", at positions 338 to 854 of the family's 1533-position model. The record is from RNAcentral.